This is an RNA transcript of Carassius auratus (goldfish), 1146 nucleotides long. It is a transcript of the gene named immunoglobulin lambda-1 light chain-like, with no coding region annotated. The transcript is spliced from 4 exons. The record is from RefSeq and is a predicted model, not a curated record. NCBI's taxonomy places the organism in Eukaryota, Metazoa, Chordata, Actinopteri, Cypriniformes, Cyprinidae.
GUGUGUGUGUGUGUGUAAGCUACAUUUUUUUAAUAUAAAAGAGCCGUGUAUCUGAAUGCUCUCAGAUCUUCUCUGAUCAUCUACACAAGGUAAAGCCAUGAAGAUCCUGAACGCUGUGUCGAUCACUGGACUCCUGCUCUCUCUGACUGGUUUAAUGGCAUAUAAUUUGAGUCAGGAGAAGUCCAAGUCAGUGAAACUGGGUGACAAGGUGUCGAUACUCUGCACUGCAGAAGAUGAUGAUUAUUUCAUUUCAUGGUACCAACAAAAAACCGGUGCUGCUCCUCAGUUUCUGCUUCGUAAUGACAUAAGAGCAAGUGAUUUACCAGCCAGGUUCACUUACACUGACUCAGGCAAUCAGGAUUAUCUGACCAUUGAUGGAGUGAGAGCUGAAGAUGAAGCUGUUUACUACUGUGCUUGUAUUGACAGUACAGGAGGCACAGUGCUUCAGUCCAACAGAGCCGUCGUACAAAAACCUCCUGCAUGACCUCCUCUGAAGAGUGAGGCCAGAAAUCUCCAUGAAUGUGAAAGGUGGUGAAGUGUUCAGAUUACAGCGCUGAGGUUUUUGUGCUGAGCUCAAACACCGUGAGUCUCUGUGUUUGCUCAAGGCACCAACCUUGUGAUAUCAGCUCGUCCGUCGUCUCCUCCGUCCCUGCUCCUGCUGGCUCCUGCUGCUCCUCUGCUCUCUGAGGGAGAUGUCAGUGUGCUGUGUGUGGCUCAGGGCUUUUACCCUGACGGUGUCACCGUGUCCUGGUCUGAGGACAGCAGCGGUGUGACGGGGGACGAGGUGCAGACGGCUCCGUAUCAGCGUCAGGCCGAUGGCACCUUCUCCCAGACCAGUGUCCUGAAGCUCAGUAAGCAGCGCUGGAGCUCCGGGAGAACCUACACGUGCAGCCUGAGUCACCCGGCGCUUUCCACACCGCUGAGCCAGAGCACCAGCCUCAACCAGUGUGUGUAGACCGAUCACACACAGCUGUGUUACAUACAGAGAGAAAUAUAUAUAAUGCAUCUCAGUGAACACAACUUGUCUUUAAUAAUGAGUGUGUUGUCCAUUUAAACAAGUUCUUCUGUUAUUGUGAAAAGAGUUUUGUGGAGCUCUUCUUUGUUGCUUACUCUAGUAAAUAAAGCAUUUAAAUGUUUCAAAUGAAA